CAGUGAUAAAAAGAAGCUCUUAAAAGCAGCCAGAGAAAGACACAUUGUGCAUAAAAGAACAAAAAUAAGGAAGACACUAGAUUUCUCACUAGAAACAGCAAGAAGACCACGAAGCAACGUCUUAGAGGCGCUGGAGGAAUCCACAAGACCCUGUUUCCAAAUAAGAUCACAUGCCCAGUACAAUGGGUUAGAACUUGAACAUGCCUUGUUGGAGGGAAUAGCUCAUCCCGUGACUCUUCUCCUGUCUCCCAGUGGAUGGGGAAGGUCCGGUGGAGCAUUCCAAUAUCCUGGGGAGAGGCCAGAGGUGCUGGAUGAGAGAAGCCUGGAUCCCUGAGUUACCACGGGGAAGACCACCCAGGAAGCAUGUGGCUGAUCUCAGAGAUAAACGACAAAGGAUGGAAAAUGCUAGCAAGAAGCACUAGAUGGACAACACUUUCAUCAGAGCCAUGAUAAACGGACUCAUGAGUGGAAGAUAUGUCUUCCCAGUUCCUCAACUACAAAAGAUGGAAAGUGCUAGCAAGAAACAAGAGGUGGGCAACACCUCCAUCGUGGCCAUGAUAAAUGGACCCAUAAAUGGAAUGUGUGUCACCCCAGUUUCUCUAUGACUUGAAAUAUAAGACCCUUCCUAGUGGGCUGUAGUGAAAAGGUGAAUUUGGGUGUCACAUAGAUGCUUUCCAGGUUGACAAGCAAUUUAACUUCCCUGCACCACAAUUUUGUAACCUAGAAAGUGUGGUUAAUCAUGCCAGCCUUUGAGGAUUUUUAUAAAGAAUAAAUGGU
Long non-coding RNA from Manis javanica (Malayan pangolin), 777 nucleotides. RefSeq lists it as uncharacterized. NCBI's taxonomy places the organism in Eukaryota, Metazoa, Chordata, Mammalia, Pholidota, Manidae. The record is from RefSeq and is a predicted model, not a curated record.